RNAcentral lists this ribosomal RNA (274 nucleotides) under uncultured bacterium. RNAcentral describes it as "partial 16S ribosomal RNA". It matches the Rfam family "Bacterial small subunit ribosomal RNA", at positions 85 to 354 of the family's 1533-position model. The record is from RNAcentral.
CCGCCGGCGACCGGCGCACGGGUGAGUAACACGUAUGCAACCUGGCCGUGACAGAUGGAUAACCGGGAGAAAUCCCGCCUAAUACAACAUAAUGCCGGGAGGGGACAUCCCCUGCCGGCCAAAGGGGGCGACCCCGGUCACGGAUGGGCAUGCGGCGCAUUAGGUAGUUGGUGGGGCAACGGCCCACCAAGCCGACGAUGUCGUAGGGGUUCUGAGAGGAAGGUCCCCCACAUUGGAACUGAGACACGGUCCAAACUCCUACGGGAGGCAGCAG